AUGAAACUCAAAGUGUUGAUCUCAUAUCAGCGAGCUGUGGAAUGGAGAGCCCAUCUCUACUACGGCUGCUCUUGCUGACCGUGUCUCUGUGCUGCAGGCCCAACAAAGGUCAGUGCACUUCUCUGGCUGCAGGCCCAAAGUGUUAGGAGAGUCUCUGACUUCCAGCUUUACAAGAGUCAGCCCAGUCAGCCCUCUGUCCUUUGUCCCUCCUCUCCACCCCCACCCAGCCUCCCUGACUCUCAGGCCCAGCACAGCUCAGCUGUUUGUUCGUGAGUCUCUUGAUCUGAGCUGUGAGGAAGACUCUGCUGGAUGGACGGUGAAGAGGAACACGACCACAGAAACCAUGAGAGAGUGUGGAGACACCUGGGGAAAACUAAACGCUUCCUCCUGCAGAAUCAGAUACACACUCCCAUCAGACAGUGGAGUUUACUGGUGUGAGUCCAGAGAGGGAGCAACCAGCAACACCGUCAACAUCACCGUCACUGUUGUGAUCCUGCAGAGUCCUGUCCUUCCUGUGAUGGAGGGAGCUGCUGUGACUCUGAACUGUACAACCUGGA
Molecule: long non-coding RNA, 557 nt
Organism: Myripristis murdjan (pinecone soldierfish)
Lineage: Eukaryota; Metazoa; Chordata; Actinopteri; Holocentriformes; Holocentridae
Exons: 3
Source: RefSeq, a predicted model, not a curated record